CACCACCUCAGUAUGAAAAGGACCAGUAGCCAACCCUUCCUUUCCAUUUUUACUGUAUCGCAAAACUAACAUGAGGAUUAUUAAGUGCUUUCAGAACUUAUUUUCUCUCUAUAUACGUACAUGGAUCCCUCCCUCUUAGAAAAAUUAAUGUUUUGUGUCUAAGGGAAGCACUAAUAUACUCUAAAUUUUCAAUUAACAUUAUGUAGUUAAGACGCCAAUCAGUGAUAACUUCUUUUGAAGUAGUUUAGAGA
Molecule: unclassified non-coding RNA, 251 nt
Filed under: Hevea brasiliensis (rubber tree)
Lineage: Eukaryota; Viridiplantae; Streptophyta; Magnoliopsida; Malpighiales; Euphorbiaceae
Source: RNAcentral